This 786-nucleotide ribosomal RNA is filed under the name uncultured bacterium. Its description in RNAcentral is "bacterial SSU rRNA". It matches the Rfam family "Bacterial small subunit ribosomal RNA", at positions 8 to 796 of the family's 1533-position model. The record is from RNAcentral.
AGAGUUUGAUCCUGGCUCAGAGCGAACGCUGGCGGCGUGCUUAACACAUGCAAGUCGAGUGCGCGCCUGUAGCAAUACAGGUGGCGCACGGCGCACGGGUGCGUAACACGUGGGUAAUCUGCCCUUCGAUGGGGAAUAACUCCGGGAAACCGAAGCUAAUUCCGCAUAACAUUCCUUGGACCUCGGUUCGGGGAUUCAAAGCCGUAAGGCGUCGGAGGAGGAACCCGCGCACGAUUAGCUAGUUGGUAGGGUAACGGCCUACCAAGGCUUUGAUCGUUAGCUGGUCUGAGAGGAUGGCCAGCCACACUGGAACUGAGACACGGUCCAGACUCCUACGGGAGGCAGCAGUGGGGAAUCUUGCACAAUGGGCGAAAGCCUGAUGCAGCGACGCCGCGUGGGGGAUGAAGCUUCUCGGAGUGUAAACCCCUUUCGACCCGGACGAAUGCCCCGCAAGGGGACUGACGGUACGGGUAUAAGAAGCCCCGGCUAACUACGUGCCAGCAGCCGCGGUAAGACGUGGGGGGCCAGCGUUGCUCGGAAUUACUGGGUGUAAAGGGUUCGUAGGCGGUGUGGCAAGUCGGGAGUGAAAUCUCUGGGCUUAACUCAGAGACUGCUUCCGAAACUGCUGUGCUUGAGUGUGGGAGAGGCGCGUGGAAUUGCAGGUGUAGCGGUGAAAUGCGUAGAUAUCUGCAGGAACACCCGUGGCGAAAGCGGCGCGCUGGACCACUACUGACGCUGAGGAACGAAAGCUAGGGGAGCAAACAGGAUUAGAUACCCCGGUAGUCC